CUCCACCCGGCACAGCCAGAAGAGGACUGGCCACCCCUCAGAGCCUGGUUCCUCUCUAGGUUUCUUCCUAGGUUCCGGCCUUUCUAGGGAGUUUUUCCUAGCCACUGUGCUUCUACACCUGCAUUGCUUGCUGUUUGGGGUUUUAGGCUGGGUUUCUGUACAGCACUUUGAGAUAUCAGCUGAUGUAAGAAGGGCUUUAUAAAUACAUUUGAUUUAGAGAAUUGCUUGUUGCGCCUGCUGCAAUGUAUCGUUCCAUUUCUCCAAAUGUCAAAUUUCUAAGAUAAAGAUUCAAAUUUAGGCACAUAUUCCAAAUGGUUAAGGUUUAGGUUAGGGUUUUAAAAAAGUGUCCACUACAGGGUUUAAACCUUCAGCUCAUGAGUCAUAGGAUUGAUCAUUGAAAUGCAUUCCAACUGUGUGAAUUACUUUUAUUUAGUGUUUGUCUUUUUACUGGGAUAGAACAUGCAACCUUCUGAUCCAAAGUCAGGAGAUUACCCCCGUCCAGAAACCCACGCAAAAUCCAAGUUUGAUGCUAAUAGCGCUCACUGUUGCCACCUAGUGGCUGGUUUCGAAGGCAUUUCCCAACGUCCAAUUUCGACAUCAAUCUUGAAAGACCUGACUGAGUCGACCUCGCCAAAAACUUUUAACUACUAUAACAUCUGGAAUAGAGUGUUCUUUCACUUUUUGCUUUGCCUUCUCUCAUCCCACAAUAGUCUGUCGUGUGUGUGUGUGUGUGUGUGUGUGUGUGGAUUUAUAGGGUUUAUUCACGGACAACAUUAGGAAAAAGCAAAUUAACAAAAUCUUUUUUUUUUGCAGAAUGUGACCGUUGCAUGAAUAGACCCCAUAAUUACCGCAAUACUACAUAAAUACGUGUACAGUACGUUCUCUCGGAGCGUUACCACUAUUGCUUUUGGAUCUAAAGGAUUAUUUAGGACUACUGUGCCUGUUCAGAGUUUCCAUGUUCACAGUAAAAAUUACAUUCGGCAGUGCUGAUUUGGAUAAGAUAUUUAGGAGUGUCAUGUGAAUGUACUGUAGCAGAGGAAUGGCUGCCUUGGACUGUAAGAGAAACUUGCCUGUCUUUAACAGCCCUACUUCCUGCCGUUUCUGAGAGUGCUGCAUCACUCCCUGAUAAAUCACAAUUUUAAAUAUAUAUUUUGUAAAUAAAUCCACCAGACUAGUGCACUUAGGCCUUUUAUUACUCCUGUAUGAGCUGACGCGAGCGUUUUACAAAAAAUGUACACGUAUGGGUUAUUCAAUCAUUGCACCAACACUGCUCGCAAGCGUCAACGAGCAUCUGCGUCACCAGGCGCUAAAAUAGAACUUGAUUCUAUUUGUGACGCUUGACGAGCUGCAAUUGCCAUCUCUCCCAUUUCCUCAUUGGUUUUUAGGAGCGUAUACCCACGUGGGUGAUUGAAAGAUGAACUGAGGUUCACACUCCAGUCCAGUUGGUGGUGGUAAUGCACCUUAAAGUUGGUUGCCAACCGCCAUAUAAAGUCCACAGAAGAAGAAGCCUGACGGAGGAGAAAUUACUAGGAUUUACACUUUUAUCUGUGGAUAAAUUCUCUGAGUAGAGGACCUUGUGCAUUUCAGAACUGCAAGAAAACCAGUAUCUGAUGGAAGAGGUCAACUGUUCACCCC
Long non-coding RNA from Oncorhynchus tshawytscha (Chinook salmon), 1635 nucleotides. Lineage: Eukaryota; Metazoa; Chordata; Actinopteri; Salmoniformes; Salmonidae. The record is from Ensembl.